This 539-nucleotide ribosomal RNA is filed under the name Vibrio sp. RNAcentral's name for it is "bacterial SSU rRNA". It matches the Rfam family "Bacterial small subunit ribosomal RNA", at positions 8 to 526 of the family's 1533-position model. Lineage: Bacteria; Pseudomonadati; Pseudomonadota; Gammaproteobacteria; Vibrionales; Vibrionaceae. The record is from RNAcentral.
AGAGUUUGAUCCUGGCUCAGAUUGAACGCUGGCGGCAGGCCUAACACAUGCAAGUCGAGCGGAAACGAGUUAUCUGAACCUUCGGGGAACGAUAACGGCGUCGAGCGGCGGACGGGUGAGUAAUGCCUAGGAAAUUGCCCUGAUGUGGGGGAUAACCAUUGGAAACGAUGGCUAAUACCGCAUGAUGCCUACGGGCCAAAGAGGGGGACCUUCGGGCCUCUCGCGUCAGGAUAUGCCUAGGUGGGAUUAGCUAGUUGGUGAGGUAAGGGCUCACCAAGGCGACGAUCCCUAGCUGGUCUGAGAGGAUGAUCAGCCACACUGGAACUGAGACACGGUCCAGACUCCUACGGGAGGCAGCAGUGGGGAAUAUUGCACAAUGGGCGCAAGCCUGAUGCAGCCAUGCCGCGUGUGUGAAGAAGGCCUUCGGGUUGUAAAGCACUUUCAGUCGUGAGGAAGGUAGUGUAGUUAAUAGCUGCAUUAUUUGACGUUAGCGACAGAAGAAGCACCGGCUAACUCCGUGCCAGCAGCCGCGGUAAUAC